RNAcentral lists this ribosomal RNA (249 nucleotides) under Triticum aestivum (bread wheat). RNAcentral describes it as "partial small subunit ribosomal RNA". Lineage: Eukaryota; Viridiplantae; Streptophyta; Magnoliopsida; Poales; Poaceae. The record is from RNAcentral.
AUGGAGCCUCCCUGUCUGGCGAUGGGGUGGGAGUCGGAUAGGCGUGCGGCGGUGAUUGUGCGAUCACGGAGACAUCUCUGCAGUCCCGAUGGCGUCGCUGCUGCAGUGGUUCCAUUCCGGCGGCAUCGUCGAUCCGUUCAAAACGGGGCUCGUCCAUGGGGUGGCCUGCCUAUCAAGACAGAGGCGUGGCCCGACAUCGUUAUUGCUCAAAUUCAGUGCGUUUCUCGCAACGGAUUACUGGGAAGAUGA